Melitaea cinxia (Glanville fritillary) is the source of this 331-nucleotide long non-coding RNA. RefSeq lists it as uncharacterized. NCBI's taxonomy places the organism in Eukaryota, Metazoa, Arthropoda, Insecta, Lepidoptera, Nymphalidae. The transcript has 3 exons. The record is from RefSeq and is a predicted model, not a curated record.
AUUCAUUGUAGCCAGUGUGUGGUGCAGGUCCGCAGCCGGCGGACUGCCAGCUGAGCGCGUGGAGCGAGUGGAGCCGCUGCAGCGUGACGUGCGGCGUCGGCUUCCAGGAGCGCACGAGGACCGUGCUGUCGCAGGCGGGCCCGGGCGGCGCGCCGUGUCCGCAGCGCACCUCCCGCCGCAGACGGUGCUCGCGCGUCUGCUAGACCGCUCCGCACGAGGACUGACCCACCGCUCACUCGCGACGGCCAGCUGCCGCGCACGACGGGUGGCGUCUACUUAAUACUCAACUCUUUAUACUUUUAAGAAAUAUAAACAUAUAUUUGGCAUUAAA